RNAcentral lists this ribosomal RNA (399 nucleotides) under uncultured bacterium. Its description in RNAcentral is "bacterial SSU rRNA". It matches the Rfam family "Bacterial small subunit ribosomal RNA", at positions 509 to 904 of the family's 1533-position model. The record is from RNAcentral.
CAGCAGCCGCGGUAAUACGUAGGAGGCAAGCGUUAUCCGGAGUUACUGGGCGUAAAGCGCGCGCAGGCGGUUAGGCAAGUUGGGUGUGAAAGCUCCCGGCUAAACCGGGAGAGUGCAUUCAAGACUGCCUGGCUAGAGGACGGUAGAGGGGCGCAGAAUUCGGGGUGUAGCGGUGAAAUGUGUAGAGAUCCCGAGGAAUACCAGUGGGGAAGCCGGCGCCCUGGGCCGAACCUGACGCUGAGGCGCGACAGCGUGGGGAGCGAACGGGAUUAGAGACCCCGGUAGUCCACGCCGUAAACGAUGCAGACUGGGUGUUCACUUGCCUGCGGGCGAGGGAGUGCCGAAGCAAACGCGCUAAGUCUGCCGCCUGGGGAGUACGGUCGCAAGGCUAAAACUCAA